Molecule: ribosomal RNA, 253 nt
Filed under: uncultured bacterium
Lineage: Bacteria
Description: partial 16S ribosomal RNA
Rfam family: Bacterial small subunit ribosomal RNA
Source: RNAcentral
UACGUAGGGUCCAAGCGUUAUCCGGAAUCACUGGGCGUAAAGCGUCCGCAGCCGGCGUGUUAAGUGAGAUGUUAAAUCGUGUGGCUCAACCAUAUCGGUGUAUCUCAUACUGGCAUGCUAGAGGAAAUCAGAGGCAAGUGGAAUUUGUAGUGUAGCAGUGAAAUGCGUAGAGAUGUGGAGGAACACCGAUGGCGAAGGCAGCCCCCUGGGCUAACACUGACGCUCAUGCACGAAAGCGUGGGGAGCAAACAGG